RNAcentral lists this transfer RNA (83 nucleotides) under Nostocaceae cyanobacterium CSU_2_110. RNAcentral describes it as "tRNA-Ser". It matches the Rfam family "tRNA". From Rfam's summary of the family: Transfer RNA (tRNA) molecules are approximately 80 nucleotides in length. Their secondary structure includes four short double-helical elements and three loops (D, anti-codon, and T loops). The record is from RNAcentral. Lineage: Bacteria; Bacillati; Cyanobacteriota; Cyanophyceae; Nostocales; Nostocaceae.
GGGUAGGUGGCUGAGCGGUAAAGCACCGGUUUUGAAAACCGAGGUACUAGUUUUAGUCGAGGGUUCGAGUCCUUUCCUGCCCG